RNAcentral lists this unclassified non-coding RNA (540 nucleotides) under Chaetomium globosum. RNAcentral's name for it is "sequence contains ITS1, 5.8S rRNA gene and ITS2". The stretch from base 216 to 369 matches the Rfam family "5.8S ribosomal RNA". The record is from RNAcentral. Lineage: Eukaryota; Fungi; Ascomycota; Sordariomycetes; Sordariales; Chaetomiaceae.
UAACAAGGUCUCCGUUGGUGAACCAGCGGAGGGAUCAUUACAGAGUUGCAAAACUCCCUAAACCAUUGUGAACGUUACCUAUACCGUUGCUUCGGCGGGCGGCCCCGGGGUUUACCCCCCGGGCGCCCCUGGGCCCCACCGCGGGCGCCCGCCGGAGGUCACCAAACUCUUGAUAAUUUAUGGCCUCUCUGAGUCUUCUGUACUGAAUAAGUCAAAACUUUCAACAACGGAUCUCUUGGUUCUGGCAUCGAUGAAGAACGCAGCGAAAUGCGAUAAGUAAUGUGAAUUGCAGAAUUCAGUGAAUCAUCGAAUCUUUGAACGCACAUUGCGCCCGCCAGCAUUCUGGCGGGCAUGCCUGUUCGAGCGUCAUUUCAACCAUCAAGCCCCCGGGCUUGUGUUGGGGACCUGCGGCUGCCGCAGGCCCUGAAAAGCAGUGGCGGGCUCGCUGUCGCACCGAGCGUAGUAGCAUACAUCUCGCUCUGGUCGCGCCGCGGGUUCCGGCCGUUAAACCACCUUUUAACCCAAGGUUGACCUCAGAUC